Molecule: unclassified non-coding RNA, 239 nt
Filed under: uncultured Lactarius
Lineage: Eukaryota; Fungi; Basidiomycota; Agaricomycetes; Russulales; Russulaceae
Description: sequence contains ITS2
Source: RNAcentral
AAAUCUCAACCUUCUCGGUUUCUUCUUGACACCGAAGGAGGCUUGGACUUUGGAGGCCUUUGCUGGCGUCUCUCGCCAGCUCCUCUCAAAUGAAUUAGUGGGGUCCUCUUUGCCGAUCCUCGACAUGUGAUAAGAUGUUUCCAUGUCUUGGUUUAUGGCUCUGUUGCUUUUGGGACCCGCUUCUAACCGUCUCAACGAGACAACGUUCGAGCGUGUCGAACACUCUUGAACCCACGAAC